AUUACCCAAUCCUGACACAGGGAGGUAGUGACAAGAAAUAACAAUACAGGUCUAAUGUCUUGUAAUUGGAAUGAUGGCGACUUAAACCCUCGCCAGAGUAACAAUUGGAGGGCAAGUCUGGUGCCAGCAGCCGCGGUAAUUCCAGCUCCAAUAGCGUAUAUUAAACUUGUUGCAGUUAAAAAGCUCGUAGUUGAAUUUCUGCGUUGCGUUGUUCUUGCUUUUUGCUUGAUUUUCGCUUCGCUUUUUGUUUUUACUUUGAGAAAAUUAGAGUGUUUAUCGCAGACUUUUGUCUUGAAUACUUCAGCAUGGAAUAACAUAGUAGGACCUUGGUUCUAUUUUGUUGGUUUGGGACCUUGGUAAUGGUUAAUAGGAACGGUUGGGGGCAUUCGUAUUUAA
Molecule: ribosomal RNA, 396 nt
Filed under: Babesia caballi
Lineage: Eukaryota; Apicomplexa; Aconoidasida; Piroplasmida; Babesiidae
Description: SSU rRNA
Rfam family: Eukaryotic small subunit ribosomal RNA
Source: RNAcentral